Culex quinquefasciatus (southern house mosquito) is the source of this 688-nucleotide long non-coding RNA. RefSeq lists it as uncharacterized. The record is from RefSeq and is a predicted model, not a curated record. NCBI's taxonomy places the organism in Eukaryota, Metazoa, Arthropoda, Insecta, Diptera, Culicidae. The transcript is spliced from 2 exons.
GAAGGAGGAUGGGAAAUAGAGAUAACCCGGCGGCCAUGCCGGAAGACGGGAGGAACCGGUCUGCGGUCAAGGAAACGGAUGUUUUACUUUCCACGGGAGGUUGCGGUGCAUUCCCAAAGGAGAAGAAUGAUGAAAUACCAAGUUCCGCCCAAGGGAACAUAAAGAGAGAAACGGAACUUCCAAUUCCUAAGGAGUUGUUCACUGUUCUGGGUGAAUGAAAAGGAGGAGGAGGACGGAAUAAUAUACUCCCGGCAGCGUUUCUGAUCCGACAGAAGUUAUUAUCAAUGGAACUGGCAACAAACAUAUUCCAAUCUGAUUCUGCCGGAAACCGGAAUGCGUUCCCGUGUGGUCACUCGUGGCUUCCGUAGAAUUCACGGAAGCAGCCCCGUUUUUUUCGUACUCGUACUCCACAAAACCCACGUUUCCUCGUACUCCGGUAAACAUCAAUCCGUCGGAGAUCCAAGAUCGUCGCCAAGGCGUCGCAUCCGGGUUUUGAUCAGCUCGUUGAGGAACAAAAGUCCAACACGACCAAGAUGCUGCCACGGCCGCCUCAGAAGAACACCAACACCCAAGCCGGAAGCUGUGGUCUAGGCAAAUCCAGAAGGAAGCCAAGCUGGGGAAGAAUCGGCGAUCCGCAAGUGAAAUAAAGUGUACAAUAAAUAUUUUUGUGAAAUUUUGACAGCUGGAA